Molecule: ribosomal RNA, 673 nt
Filed under: Bacillus subtilis
Lineage: Bacteria; Bacillati; Bacillota; Bacilli; Caryophanales; Bacillaceae
Description: bacterial SSU rRNA
Rfam family: Bacterial small subunit ribosomal RNA
Source: RNAcentral
AUUAUUGGGCGUAAGGGCUCGCAGGCGGUUUCUUAAGUCUGAUGUGAAAGCCCCCGGCUCAACCGGGGAGGGUCAUUGGAAACUGGGGAACUUGAGUGCCGAAGAGGAGAGUGGAAUUCCACGUGUAGCGGUGAAAUGCGUAGAGAUGUGGAGGAACACCAGUGGCGAAGGCGACUCUCUGGUCUGUAACUGACGCUGAGGAGCGAAAGCGUGGGGAGCGAACAGGAUUAGAUACCCUGGUAGUCCACGCCGUAAACGAUGAGUGCUAAGUGUUAGGGGGUUUCCGCCCCUUAGUGCUGCAGCUAACGCAUUAAGCACUCCGCCUGGGGAGUACGGUCGCAAGACUGAAACUCAAAGGAAUUGACGGGGGCCCGCACAAGCGGUGGAGCAUGUGGUUUAAUUCGAAGCAACGCGAAGAACCUUACCAGGUCUUGACAUCCUCUGACAAUCCUAGAGAUAGGACGUCCCCUUCGGGGGCAGAGUGACAGGUGGUGCAUGGUUGUCGUCAGCUCGUGUCGUGAGAUGUUGGGUUAAGUCCCGCAACGAGCGCAACCCUUGAUCUUAGUUGCCAGCAUUCAGUUGGGCACUCUAAGGUGACUGCCGGUGACAAACCGGAGGAAGGUGGGGAUGACGUCUAAUCAUCAUGCCGCUUAUGACCUGGGCUACACACGUG